AGGUACCUGCACAGGUGCUGCAUGGCUGUCGUCAGCUCGUGUCGUGAGAUGUUGGGUUAAGUCCCGCAACGAGCGCAACCCUUAUCCCCAGUUGCCAUCAGGUAAAGCUGGGAACUCUGGGGAGACUGCCGGUGAUAACCGGAGGAAGGUGGGGAUGACGUCAAAUCAUCAUGCCCCUUAUGACCUGGGCUACACACGUGCUACAAUGGUUGGUACAACGAGUUGCGAGUCGGUGACGGCGAGCUAAUCUCUUAAAGCCAAUCUCAGUUCGGAUUGUAGGCUGCAACUCGCCUACAUGAAGUCGGAAUCGCUAGUAAUCGCGGAUCAGCACGCCGCGGUGAAUACCGUUCCCGGGCCUU
This 359-nucleotide ribosomal RNA is filed under the name uncultured Acidobacteriaceae bacterium. RNAcentral's name for it is "bacterial SSU rRNA". It matches the Rfam family "Bacterial small subunit ribosomal RNA", at positions 1024 to 1382 of the family's 1533-position model. Lineage: Bacteria; Pseudomonadati; Acidobacteriota; Terriglobia; Terriglobales; Acidobacteriaceae. The record is from RNAcentral.